ACUCCUACGGGAGGCAGCAGUGGGGAAUAUUGCACAAUGGGCGAAAGCCUGAUGCAGCGACGCCGCGUGAGGGAUGACGGCCUUCGGGUUGUAAACCUCUUUCAGUAGGGAAGAAGCGAAAGUGACGGUACCUGCAGAAGAAGCACCGGCUAACUACGUGCCAGCAGCCGCGGUAAU
This 177-nucleotide ribosomal RNA is filed under the name uncultured bacterium. RNAcentral's name for it is "partial 16S ribosomal RNA". It matches the Rfam family "Bacterial small subunit ribosomal RNA", at positions 335 to 524 of the family's 1533-position model. The record is from RNAcentral.